GACGAACGCUGGCGGCGUGCUUAACACAUGCAAGUCGAACGAUGAAGCUGGAGCUUGCUCUAGCGGAUUAGUGGCGAACGGGUGAGUAACACGUGAGCAAUCUGCCCUUGACUCUGGGAUAACUGCGGGAAACUGUAGCUAAUGCCGGAUACUUUCACCGGGGGGCAUCCUCUGGUGAUGAAAGAAUUUCGGUCAAGGAUGAGCUCGCGGCCUAUCAGCUUGUUGGUGAGGUAACGGCUCACCAAGGCGACGACGGGUAACCGGCCUGAGAGGGUGACCGGGCACACUGGGACUGAGACACGGUCCAGACUCCUACGGGAGGCAGCAGUGGGGAAUAUUGCACAAUGGGCGCAAGCCUGGUGCAGCAACGCCGCGUGAGGGAUGAAGGCCUUCGGGUUGUAAACCUCUUUUAGCAGGGAAGAAGCGAAAGUGACGGUACCUGCAGAAAAAGCACCGGCUAACUACGUGCCAGCCGCCGCCGUAA
This 484-nucleotide ribosomal RNA is filed under the name uncultured bacterium. Its description in RNAcentral is "partial 16S ribosomal RNA". It matches the Rfam family "Bacterial small subunit ribosomal RNA", at positions 28 to 523 of the family's 1533-position model. The record is from RNAcentral.